GGCAUGGUGAGUGUCAUCUGUUGUUGGCUCACCCACUCCAAGUUGGGAGUUGGUUCAUGUGAAUCAGUCUAAAGCUUGGAUUAUGUGGUUCCUAGAGAGGAGGGUACUGCGUCAGGCUGGUUUCAGAGAGCAGCGAGUACAUCCCAUUUCUUACGGUGGAAGGAUAACGAGUCAUUGCACCCCAGGCC
This 188-nucleotide signal recognition particle RNA is filed under the name Macleaya cordata. RNAcentral's name for it is "Plant signal recognition particle RNA". It matches the Rfam family "Plant signal recognition particle RNA", at positions 79 to 263 of the family's 305-position model. Lineage: Eukaryota; Viridiplantae; Streptophyta; Magnoliopsida; Ranunculales; Papaveraceae. The record is from Rfam by way of RNAcentral.